CUGCCUUUCUCCUCACUGCAGCCUCCGGCCUAGGCUCCCCAGCCCAGGCCCCUCCUCCAGGCACGCCUGGGCCCCUCAGCCCAGGCCCUGGCCGGCUACAAGUGCAGGAAGUCAGAACUUCCCCUCACCACAAGUUCCUGUUUGGAGGAGACAGAAGCCAAAGGAAACCACCACCCCUUCAGAGCUGGAAACAGGGGAUCUCAGUCACGAAGCACCCCAUCACCAGGCUCCAGAUCUUCAGAGGCCUGCCUCCAGGAUGGGCUCCUAGCGCUGCCACAGGAUGAUGCCUACUUCACAGUUGUUCGAGCUAAGCACGUGACAAGUACUCAGCGAAGGGAGACACGGGGGAUCGCUGUUAGCCCUAUCUGUACGGCAGAUGUCUCCACAGCUAGCGCUGGUGAGUUCUGACUCCCACCUGCCCCUCCACCGGCUGAGCUGUUCACACCCCCACCUUCUGGGCCACCCCCUGCUGGGCCCCUCCCCAGGACCAGAGCUGCGGGACUCAGGGCCCACCCACCAGCCCAGAUAGUGUAUUCCCCUCCGGCAAGCGCCCACUCACCGAUCCUGUGAGUCUGCAGGUGCCGCUGCACCUCUCCAGGUGUCGGGCUGGCCCCCAGGCA
Lynx canadensis (Canada lynx) is the source of this 620-nucleotide long non-coding RNA. RefSeq lists it as uncharacterized. The transcript is spliced from 3 exons. NCBI's taxonomy places the organism in Eukaryota, Metazoa, Chordata, Mammalia, Carnivora, Felidae. The record is from RefSeq and is a predicted model, not a curated record.